GAUGAACGCUGGCGGCGUGCCUAAUACAUGCAAGUCGAGCGAACGGACGAGAAGCUUGCUUCUCUGAUGUUAGCGGCGGACGGGUGAGUAACACGUGGAUAACCUACCUAUAAGACUGGGAUAACUUCGGGAAACCGGAGCUAAUACCGGAUAAUAUUUUGAACCGCAUGGUUCAAAAGUGAAAGACGGUCUUGCUGUCACUUAUAGAUGGAUCCGCGCUGCAUUAGCUAGUUGGUAGGGUAACGGCUUACCAAGGCAACGAUGCAUAGCCGACCUGAGAGGGUGAUCGGCCACACUGGAACUGAGACACGGUCCAGACUCCUACGGGAGGCAGCAGUAGGGAAUCUUCCGCAAUGGGCGAAAGCCUGACGGAGCAACGCCGCGUGAGUGAUGAAGGUCUUCGGAUCGUAAAACUCUGUUAUUAGGGAAGAACAUAUGUGUAAGUAACUGUGCACAUCUUGACGGUACCUAAUCAGAAAGCCACGGCUAACUACGUGCCAGCAGCCGCGGUAAUACGUAGGUGGCAAGCGUUAUCCGGAAUUAUUGGGCGUAAAGCGCGCGUAGGCGGUUUUUUAAGUCUGAUGUGAAAGCCCACGGCUCAACCGUGGAGGGUCAUUGGAAACUGGAAAACUUGAGUGCAGAAGAGGAAAGUGGAAUUCCAUGUGUAGCGGUGAAAUGCGCAGAGAUAUGGAGGAACACCAGUGGCGAAGGCGACUUUCUGGUCUGUAACUGACGCUGAUGUGCGAAAGCGUGGGGAUCAAACAGGAUUAGAUACCCUGGUAGUCCACGCCGUAAACGAUGAGUGCUAAGUGUUAGGGGGUUUCCGCCCCUUAGUGCUGCAGCUAACGCAUUAAGCACUCCGCCUGGGGAGUACGACCGCAAGGUUGAAACUCAAAGGAAUUGACGGGGACCCGCACAAGCGGUGGAGCAUGUGGUUUAAUUCGAAGCAACGCGAAGAACCUUACCAAAUCUUGACAUCCUUUGACAACUCUAGAGAUAGAGCCUUCCCCUUCGGGGGACAAAGUGACAGGUGGUGCAUGGUUGUCGUCAGCUCGUGUCGUGAGAUGUUGGGUUAAGUCCCGCAACGAGCGCAACCCUUAAGCUUAGUUGCCAUCAUUAAGUUGGGCACUCUAAGUUGACUGCCGGUGACAAACCGGAGGAAGGUGGGGAUGACGUCAAAUCAUCAUGCCCCUUAUGAUUUGGGCUACACACGUGCUACAAUGGACAAUACAAAGGGCAGCGAAACCGCGAGGUCAAGCAAAUCCCAUAAAGUUGUUCUCAGUUCGGAUUGUAGUCUGCAACUCGACUACAUGAAGCUGGAAUCGCUAGUAAUCGUAGAUCAGCAUGCUACGGUGAAUACGUUCCCGGGUCU
Molecule: ribosomal RNA, 1372 nt
Filed under: uncultured bacterium
Lineage: Bacteria
Description: bacterial SSU rRNA
Rfam family: Bacterial small subunit ribosomal RNA
Source: RNAcentral